UGCAGCGGCGUUGGGCUUGAGUUGCCAUCACGGAACACAGAGAGAGAGAGAGAGAGAGAAAGGCAGUAAAGGCGGACGAAACGGUGGAAGUAAAUGCAAAGGCUCGCGGUGCGAAGGCUUCUCGGCUGCUGCAGCCGCUCUGCUCUCGCUCUUCACCUCACCCGCCUGGAGGCACAAGUGCACACAAAUGGAGGCACCAGCGGGGAAAGAUGAGCGGGUGAGUGGUGCCGCAGCUGCAGAUAACCAUUGAUCUCUCUGUGUAUGGGUUUGAGUGGAUCCACUUUGCUCGGCUGCAGGGUCUCAUUUUGCGUUGAGAAUUUCUAGGCAUUAUUGCUUUUUUGUUGGGUUUGUAUGCAUGUGGGUGGUGUUGAUGCUGCUUAGAUUUCCAUGUCUGGUUCUUUGUUUCUUGGCCUAUUCGUUUCCUUCUCUCAGCCUUACAACAUCAAGAACUGGAGGUUAAACACCCACUAUCUCAUAUUAACUUCU
RNAcentral lists this long non-coding RNA (486 nucleotides) under Musa acuminata (dwarf banana). RNAcentral's name for it is "long non-coding RNA (MACU_LNC002240)". Lineage: Eukaryota; Viridiplantae; Streptophyta; Magnoliopsida; Zingiberales; Musaceae. The record is from RNAcentral.